RNAcentral lists this long non-coding RNA (3127 nucleotides) under Homo sapiens (human). RNAcentral describes it as "non-protein coding lnc-KLF6-2:2". Lineage: Eukaryota; Metazoa; Chordata; Mammalia; Primates; Hominidae. The record is from RNAcentral.
AGAAGAGUGAAUUGCCUUUGGAAGACUUCCACACAGGGAACACUGCUGUUAUAACAUAACAAGUAGUAAAGUGCCAUCAAGCUUCUAAAGUAAGGGAGAACAGAAAAGCAGAAGGCAAUUUUGUUUAAGAAAACAACUGCAUUUGUUACACAAUAACAUAACAAAAGGAAAUGAGACCACACUCUCUUAGAGAAUUCUGAAGCCUUAAUUACAUUGUAAAUUUUGGGAAUUAAUAUGGUACAGGCAGCUUCUAAACUCAUUCACAGGUCAGUCACUGACUUUCUGAUUAGAGCAUUAACCUGUCUCUGACAAUCAGCUAUAAUUCCAUUAUGUAUUUUUCCCAACAAUAUGAAUCAUAUUGAUCCUAAGGCUCAGAGAAGAUUUCGGUAAGCUGAAAGGAAUUUGGUAAUGACAAUGUGAACAGAUGAAUUUUGCAUCUUCCCUGAUCUGUCCCACCUCUGUAAGAAGAAAGUAUGCUGCAUUUGCUUAUUGAAAAGGACCCGAGAGAUUCCAGUCAGCCCAGUCUCUUUAUCGUACAAGGAAGCCAAAUUCAACUAAGACUGGACCGACCUGGCAGGGUGGCUCACAUCUGUAAUCCCAGACUUUGGGAGACUGAGAUGAGAGGAUCACCUAAGGUCAGGAGUUUGAGACCAGCCUGGCCCACAUAGUGAAACCCUGUCUCCACUGAAAAUACAAUAAUUAGCCAGCCGCAGUGGUGGGUGCCUGUAAUCCCAGCUACUUGGAGGCUGAGGCAGGAGAAUCGCCUGAAUCCAGGAGGCAGAGGUUGCAGUGAGCCGAGAUGACAUCACUGCACUCCAGCGUGGGAGACAGAGUGAGACUCUAUCUCAAAAAAAAAAAAAAAAAAAAAAAGGCUGGAUAGCCUGAAUCUUAUACUAGAAGAAAAACCCCAAAUAUGCCCAGGCUAAAGUCAUCUGGGGACCCAUUGUUUUGGGUGGUGGCCUCUAAUUAGGGCUUGAACAAAUUUGAUAAAAAUCUGUGUUUUGGAGAGUUUCCCGUUGGAGGUGAGGCUCCUAGACCAGGUACUUGGUCAUCCCCUGAGAGCUCAUCAGCCAGGCAGAGGCUCAACUCCCACCCAGGCCUGCUGAGCCAAAAUCUGCCUUUCAACAAGGCCCAUGGGUGAUCACUGUGUGCAUGAAAGGUUGGAAACACUGGCUUAGGUGAUACUGCUAAGAUUGAGAUCAGAGAAGGACUUGUUUUUCUCUAGGGCUUUCCAUUUACAAGUCAGCUGACUAUUCCGGGAACCACACUGAUGGAAGCUCUCAGGAGCUUUUGUCUUGAUUGGAAAACACUACCUCAGCCAGGAGUCAGGUCAGGAGAUGGAAAGGUGAUGGGCAGAAGCUGGAGGAGCUGGAGGAGCUGGAGGAGCUGGAGGAGCUGGAGGAUCUCCAUGACAGGGGAGAUGCACUUCCAUAGAUGCAUCUUCGUGCAGAUACAGAGGAAUCUGGCACUUUCUGAACCUCGAGAUCCAAUUGAUAAGGAAGGAAAAUCAGUAAAAUGUAACAAUGGCCAUGCACAUCAAUAAAAUGUAACCACAGAUACAGCAAAAUGAAAGUACUCUGUGAUCAAAGGUGGCACACUCUCUUCCUGUAGGCAUGGGACAAAUCAGAAAUGAUGAAAAAAUGCAUCACUUCAAGUUUCAAAAUGCAGGUGACUUCUAACAUCUCAGAUUUUUCAACAACUCGGCACAGUAGGUGGUAUUUUCCUUAUGUUACAGAUGAGGAAACCAAGGCUCAGGGGAGUCUAGUCAGGGCCCCAAUUCACACAGCUACUAAAUGUCUGAGCUGGGGUUCACACUUACCUGUCUGACUGCCUAACACCCACACUCUAAGGCAUCCUGAGUUUACAUUUGUCACCACCUUUAGUUCAUUGUUGACCCUUCCCCCAAAGCAGUACAAUUUUUUUUUUUACAUUUGCCAAGUACUAUGUUGUAUUUGCAUACCAAUCCCUUUUAGUGCCAAAUUUAGGAGGGAAACCCCAUUUAUUAAUAAAUAUGUCCUUAAAGGAGGACAUACUCAAAAGGAAAGUGAAAAAGCAGGCUUCUGACAUAGCUUGUUAAAUGGGUCAGAGUGUAAAGAAGCAGGUGUGCGCACUGGAGUACAUUGUCUCCAAGCAUCUGGCAGAAAACCACAAUGUCAUGGGAUUGUGCAGACAGCUCCCCUUCCUUCCCUCAAAUAAAAGCAGUGUCCACAUUUCCGCUGUGAUGGGCACUGCUUCCCUCCUUUCCCUAUGUGAGCUGAAAACUCACCCCUAGGAGUCAAAUUUAAUCAAUUACACAAAACUAUUUUACCGGACGUGGGUUGUGAGCUGGAGGUAAGGCUCAGUUCCGUUUCUAAAGGAGUCCACAAGAUUUGCUUCUCAGAGAAGAAAUUAAAGUUAAUGAUGGGCCAGGUGCGGUGUCUCAUGCUUGCAAUCCCAGCACUUUGGGAUGCCAAGGCAGGAGGAUUACUUGAGGUCAGGAGUUCAAGACCAGCCUCACCAACAUAGAGAAACCCUGUCUCUACUAAAAAUACAGAAAUUAGCCGGGCAUGGCAGUGCAUGCCUGUUAUCCCAGAUAUUCUGGAGGGUGAGUCAGGAGAAUCACUUGAACCAGGAAGGUGGAGGUUGCAGUGAGCCAACAUCGUGCCAUUGCACUCUAGCCUGGGCAACAAGAGUGAAACUCUGUCUCAAAAGCAAAAAAAAAAAAUUAGCCAGCGUGGUGGUGCAUGCCUGUAAUCCCAGCUACUCUGAGACUGAGGCAGGAGCAUCACUUGAACCCAGGAAGCAGAGGUUACAGUGAGCCAAGAUCAUGCCACUGCACUCCAGCCUGGGCAACAAGAAGGAAACUCUGUCUCAAAAAAUAAAAUAAAAUAAAAAUAAAGAUAAUGAUAAACAAAUUUAAAGGCAAAAAACAAAAAUCUAAUAAAGUUACUUUUCUCUUUUGUUUCAGUUGGAGCAAAAUAGGAAGUAGUAAAGAUUCCUUGAAAUCUAUUUCAGAGCUGUUCCUUUGGGGCUAUGAAAUAAAAGACAAGACUGGUAGAAAUGACUUAAAAUGCAAAAAUGGCAAAGGUAAUGAUCACCGUGGGUAGGUUAUAAACGACUGUGGAGGUUUGGGGAGGCUAAAUCAUCC